GACGAACGCUGGCGGCGUGCUUAACACAUGCAAGUCGAGCGACGCUCUUCCUUCGGGGCGAUGCCGGAGCGGCGAACGGGUGAGUAACACAUGGGCAACCUGCCCCUAGCUCUGGGACAACACCGGGAAACCGGUGCUAAUACCGGAUACGACAUCGGGCGGCAUCCCUCGUUGUGGAAAGAUUUUUCGGCUAGGGAUGGGCCCGCGGCCUAUCAGCUUGUUGGUGGGGUAUUGGCCCACCAAGGCGACGACGGGUAGCCGGCCUGGGAGGGCGACCGGCCACACUGGGACUGAGGCACGGCCCAGACACCUACGGGAGGCAGCAGUGGGGAAUAGUGCGCAAGGGGCGAAAGCCGUACGGAGCGACGCCGCGUGAGGGACGACGGCCUGCGGGUUGUAAACCUCUAUCAGCAGGGACGAAUUCAGACGGUACCUGCAGAAGAAGCACCGGCCAACUACGUG
RNAcentral lists this ribosomal RNA (462 nucleotides) under uncultured bacterium. RNAcentral's name for it is "partial 16S ribosomal RNA". It matches the Rfam family "Bacterial small subunit ribosomal RNA", at positions 28 to 507 of the family's 1533-position model. The record is from RNAcentral.